GUUUGGAGUUGGACCCCAACGCACACAAUGAAUCCCUGUUCACUUUUCCUGAAGAUUAUCCUCCGCAUACCAGCACUGCUGAAACUCAAUGCAAGCAAGAAGCAGCUUCUCAUCUGGAUCCAGUGCACUGGAUAUUCCACAUUUUAUUUGAUAUAGCAUCAUUUUCAUAACCUGCUAGCAUUGAGCAACUGCCUGUGUAAGAAGUGCACGCAGGAUGAAACAAGCUGACCAUCAUCUGUAUCGCUCCAUCACUUAAAGGCUUGAAUAUUUGGUCUCAAGUCACCACCACAAUGCAGUUUGUGCUUGAUGGCUUCUUAACACAGAGAUUUGACAUGACCUACGUGGAAGACUUCAAAUUUGAGGAAUGUCAGAAGCCCAUUCUAACUCCCAGAGGCUGUAAGAGUGUGCAGGAGAUUAAGGAACUUUGGGUGUUGUGUGCUGCCCUGCCUGAAGUGCCCUGCUGUGCUGUAGCCUUAAGCUCUCCCUCAUGCUCCUUCAUUCUCUGCCAAACAAGUAAACUCUCUCUUUCUCAUCUCAUCUGUAAAGCCAGGCAUUUCAAAGUUGCAUGUAAUUAUCUGACCUCCCAGAUGAGCGUAUUCAUUUGCGUGACCUGUAAUUGA
Molecule: long non-coding RNA, 620 nt
Organism: Pygocentrus nattereri (red-bellied piranha)
Lineage: Eukaryota; Metazoa; Chordata; Actinopteri; Characiformes; Serrasalmidae
Source: Ensembl